Molecule: ribosomal RNA, 631 nt
Filed under: Staphylococcus aureus
Lineage: Bacteria; Bacillati; Bacillota; Bacilli; Caryophanales; Staphylococcaceae
Description: partial 23S ribosomal RNA
Rfam family: Bacterial large subunit ribosomal RNA
Source: RNAcentral
CGUGUGCUUACAAGUAGUCAGAGCCCGUUAAUGGGUGAUGGCGUGCCUUUUGUAGAAUGAACCGGCGAGUUACGAUUUGAUGCAAGGUUAAGCAGUAAAUGUGGAGCCGUAGCGAAAGCGAGUCUGAAUAGGGCGUUUAGUAUUUGGUCGUAGACCCGAAACCAGGUGAUCUACCCUUGGUCAGGUUGAAGUUCAGGUAACACUGAAUGGAGGACCGAACCGACUUACGUUGAAAAGUGAGCGGAUGAACUGAGGGUAGCGGAGAAAUUCCAAUCGAACCUGGAGAUAGCUGGUUCUCUCCGAAAUAGCUUUAGGGCUAGCCUCAAGUGAUGAUUAUUGGAGGUAGAGCACUGUUUGGACGAGGGGCCCCUCUCGGGUUACCGAAUUCAGACAAACUCCGAAUGCCAAUUAAUUUAACUUGGGAGUCAGAACAUGGGUGAUAAGGUCCGUGUUCGAAAGGGAAACAGCCCAGACCACCAGCUAAGGUCCCAAAAUAUAUGUUAAGUGGAAAAGGAUGUGGCGUUGCCCAGACAACUAGGAUGUUGGCUUAGAAGCAGCCAUCAUUUAAAGAGUGCGUAAUAGCUCACUAGUCGAGUGACACUGCGCCGAAAAUGUACCGGGGCUAAACAUA